Molecule: non-coding RNA, 278 nt
Organism: Mus musculus (house mouse)
Lineage: Eukaryota; Metazoa; Chordata; Mammalia; Rodentia; Muridae
Source: the annotation of a RefSeq genome assembly
GACAUCAGCAUGACACAAUCACCAUCCUUGUCUGCAUCUCUAGGAGACAGAGUCAUCCUUACCUGCAGGCCAUAUAAGGGUAUUAAUGAUUGGUUAGCCUGAUGUCAGUAGAAACUACGGAAUGUUCAUAAACUUCUAAUAUACCAUCCUAUCAGUGUGGAAUGAGGAGUUUCUUCAAGGAUCAGUGGCAGUGGUUUUGGGAAAGAUUUUACUUUUACCAUUAGCAACCUGUAGCCUGAAGAUAUAGCUACUUAUUACUGUCAACAGUAUUUUAGUAU